This 93-nucleotide transfer RNA is filed under the name Magnetovibrio blakemorei. RNAcentral describes it as "tRNA-Ser". It matches the Rfam family "tRNA". From Rfam's summary of the family: Transfer RNA (tRNA) molecules are approximately 80 nucleotides in length. The record is from RNAcentral. RNAcentral also lists the same sequence under 2 other names. Lineage: Bacteria; Pseudomonadati; Pseudomonadota; Alphaproteobacteria; Rhodospirillales; Magnetovibrionaceae.
GGACAGGUGGGUGAGUGGCUGAAACCAGUGGAUUGCUAAUCCGCCGUACGGGGUAAACCCGUACCGAGGGUUCGAAUCCCUCCCUGUCCGCCA